CAACCAUCUCUUUUCGCCCAUCAACAGGUAGAUGAGUAAGAAGGUCGUCCAAAAUAUCCAGUGUCUGAAUUUUUCAAUCUACCUUGCAGUAUGCAAUCGUCGGGACCAGGAACAUCUUUCUCAUCAUGCACAGACCUAGCAUGAGAAGAACCAAAGGAUAUAACGGCUGAAUGACAGCACCAUGGCAACAACAACAGGACGCCAGUGUGGGUUUCCUGUGUACUGAGAGUGUCUUCUCAGCCAAUCAGUGACUAGCUCUUAUAUGAGUACUGUAAUACCAACAUCAUAAUAUCAGACUUAUCAACAUUAGUAGUGGUCAAUGUAUGUAUAUGUUUACAUGUGUUUAUAUAUAUGUAUGUGGGUAUAUGGUAGUGUGUCCAUACAUUUGCAUAUCAUGUAUAGUCCUAUGUGUGUGGUUAUGGUUUACUCAGCUAGUGCUGCUGCUCUGUGGGGGAGGGGUUAAGGGGGCCUGGGUUUCAGGUCUGAGGAGCAGUGUCAGAGUAGCUGGGUCUGUCAGUAACAGUAUCAGAGUAGCUGGGUCUGUCAGUAACAGUAUCAGAGUAGCUGGGUCUGUCAGUAACAGUAUCAGAGUAGCUGGGUCUGUCAGUAACAGUAUCAGAGUAGUUGGGUCUGUCAGUAACAGUAUCAGAGUAGCUGGGUCUGUCAGUAACAGUAUCAGAGUAGCUGGGUCUGUCAGUAACAGUAUCAGAGUAGCUGGGUCUGUCAGUAACAGUAUCAGAGCAGCUGGGUCUGUCAGUAACAGUAUCAGAGUAGCUGGGGUCUGUCAUUUACAUUUACAUUUUAGUCAUUUAGCAGACGCUCUUAUCCAGAGCGACUUACAGUAGUGAAUGCAUACAUUUCAUCCAUUUCAUUUCAUGCAUUUUUUCUACUACCCCCCGUGGCAAUCAAACCC
Molecule: long non-coding RNA, 913 nt
Filed under: Salmo salar (Atlantic salmon)
Lineage: Eukaryota; Metazoa; Chordata; Actinopteri; Salmoniformes; Salmonidae
Description: lncRNA (ENSSSAG00000091549.1)
Source: RNAcentral